UCCAAACAAAAUCCAGACACAACCAAAAGAACACCAUCCCAUCCGAUCCAACCCUUUCCCCCACGGGGGGUCCCAGGACAGGGGCACAAGAUCCGGGCGGACCACCAGCACAUGUCCCCACAACUGAAAUCGGUCUUCUUCCGAGCAAAUACGGCGCGCCCUAAGGAACUGGCCAGUUGGGAUGCUCCUCCGCAAAGUGACCGGAUGCCAACUAGUCCAGUGAAGGAGACUAUUUGUCGAGGCGCUGAAAUUCCUUGAUGUCCCGUUUGGAAAUAUGUAUUGGAGGGAUUAACUGUUUUCUUUAUUUCGGAGUGCUUAAAAUGUCCAUGAAUCCAUAUGCGGGACGCCGGAGCAGAAUCAGGUUAAAACCGUGAUAAUAGCCAUAUCGCGCCUUCUCUUCGGCGCUUCAUCAGACCACACCUAACCUCAGGUGAGUGAAAAGGUAAAUACCUGAUAUCACGUGACACCCCAGGGUAGGGGCGUUU
Molecule: long non-coding RNA, 485 nt
Organism: Hyla sarda
Lineage: Eukaryota; Metazoa; Chordata; Amphibia; Anura; Hylidae
Exons: 4
Source: RefSeq, a predicted model, not a curated record